AUUGAACGCUGGCGGCAGGCCUAACACAUGCAAGUCGAGCGAGUGGCGGACGGGUGAGUAAUGUCUGGGAAACUGCCUGAUGGCGGGGGAUAACUCCUGGAAACGGUAGCUAAUACCGCAUACCAUCAGAUGUUCCCAGAUGGGCUUAGCUAGUAGGUGGGGUAAUGGCUCACCUAGGCGACGAUCCCUAGCUGGUCUGAGAGGAUGACAAGACACACUGGAACUGAGACACGGUCCAGACUCCUACGUGAGGCAGCAGUGGGUAAUAUUGCACAAUGGGCGCAAGCCUGAUGCAGCCAUGCCGCGUGUGUGAAGAAGGCCUUAGGGGUGUAAAGUACUUUCAGCGGGGAGGCGUUACCCGCAGAAGAAGCACGUGCUAACUCCGUGCCAGCAGCCGCGGUAAUAC
Molecule: ribosomal RNA, 406 nt
Filed under: uncultured bacterium
Lineage: Bacteria
Description: partial 16S ribosomal RNA
Rfam family: Bacterial small subunit ribosomal RNA
Source: RNAcentral